UUUUUAGUCCGGAGUAUAAGACCUAGCAUUGUUCAAAUUCAUGAAGAAAGUCUCAAAUUCACUAUUUUGCAUUGGUUUAUCAAUGAAAUUAAAAUAGAGUAAAGGCACAGGGAUCCCAUUUCAAAUAAAAAGAAAAUCGACAAAACAAUUUAGUUCUCGUCGCAUUUAUAUCCUCUUGGAAGUAAGUAUUAUUAAGCGAUAUAUAAUUCGUAUAAAUUGUCAUUUAUACCAGUAAAUUUCACAUACUUUCAAUAAAAAAAUGAGAAGAAUA
This is a long non-coding RNA of Xenia sp. Carnegie-2017, 271 nucleotides long. RefSeq lists it as uncharacterized. The transcript is spliced from 2 exons. The record is from RefSeq and is a predicted model, not a curated record. Lineage: Eukaryota; Metazoa; Cnidaria; Anthozoa; Malacalcyonacea; Xeniidae.